Molecule: ribosomal RNA, 439 nt
Filed under: uncultured bacterium
Lineage: Bacteria
Description: partial 16S ribosomal RNA
Rfam family: Bacterial small subunit ribosomal RNA
Source: RNAcentral
CUACGGGGCGCUGCAGUGAGGAAUAUUGCACAAUGGGGGGAACCCUGAUGCAGCAACGCCGCGUGGAGGAUGACGCAUUUCGGUGUGUAAACUCCUUUUAUAUGUCAAGAAAAUGACGGUAGCAUAUGAAUAAGCACCGGCUAACUCCGUGCCAGCAGCCGCGGUAAUACGGAGGGUGCAAGCGUUACUCGGAAUCACUGGGCGUAAAGAACGCGUAGGCGGGUUGGAAAGUCAGGUGUGAAAUCCUACAGCUUAACUAUAGAACUGCACUUGAAACUUCGAAUCUAGAGUAUGGGAGGGGGAGAUGGAAUUAGUGGUGUAGGGGUAAAAUCCGUAGAUAUCACUAGGAAUACCUAAAGCGAAGGCGAUCUCCUGGAACAUUACUGACGCUAAGGCGCGAAAGCGUGGGGAGCAAACAGGAUUAGAUACCCUAGUAGUC